Molecule: long non-coding RNA, 871 nt
Organism: Ornithodoros turicata
Lineage: Eukaryota; Metazoa; Arthropoda; Arachnida; Ixodida; Argasidae
Exons: 4
Source: RefSeq, a predicted model, not a curated record
GACACUCGCAGGCACGGCACUAGUAGGGACGAGAUGCUGGGAACGACUGCAGUGUUGGGAAAGCCCAGGAUCUGACUGGUAACCAGCAGGCACCUUACGCCAACGAGAACGACAACCGCCUCAAGUCGAGAUGCUUGUAAGACCAUUUUUUUCGGUCCGAUGGAGGUUGGACACUCUGCAACCCGUGUAGUUUAACCAAUGGGGUCCUGGUGACUGCAGUGCCUUCUCCGAAGACCGUCACGGAUGCAGUGCCUCCAUGGUCUCAGCCCGACGCUUCCUUAACGCGUUUGAUCCCUUGGUGUUUCACCAAAGGUCUACCCCGCAGUUAAAACCUGGAAAGUCCCGCACUGCCUCAACUACGCUUGGAUCCUUCCGGACCUGCUUCCAGUUGCUACAGUACGUGUUCCUGCACGUAGCAGUCACUGUUAACGUCAGUAAAAUCUGGUGCUCGCGUUCUAGUGCCUUUCGAAAAAACUCAGCAUAAAGAUGGGGAAAAUACACGGACAGCGUAACAGGGCUUCUAGACGACCCCACUCUCCCGGCAGGGCGGACUGUCUCCGAUCUCGGUCACCUCGUCAACGUUCCGUAGCCACCUAGACACGAGGGAUACCCGGUGUCUUGGACCUCCCGCUCAAAGUGGUCUGCCAGGUGGAAGGUCUGCCAAGGAACCAGGUCGACGCAGCAUCGGUCACGUUACCGUUUCGGGGCCUGACUAUGGCACAGACACCCCGCUGCAGCCCCUCACGCCGGAUGAAGAGCGCCUUCUCUGCCCCACGCGAACACUCGCGAGCUGGCACGGCACUAGUAGGCGCGAGGUACUGAGUACGACUGCAGUGUUGGGAAAAGUAUGAAAUAAACCUUGUUUGAUUGA